RNAcentral lists this non-coding RNA (22 nucleotides) under Rattus norvegicus (Norway rat). Lineage: Eukaryota; Metazoa; Chordata; Mammalia; Rodentia; Muridae. The record is from RNAcentral.
UGCCUGCUUCCAGACAUGGGGU